RNAcentral lists this ribosomal RNA (812 nucleotides) under Attheya sp. strain ES2. RNAcentral describes it as "LSU rRNA". It matches the Rfam family "Eukaryotic large subunit ribosomal RNA", at positions 56 to 866 of the family's 3401-position model. Lineage: Eukaryota; Bacillariophyta; Biddulphiophyceae; Attheyales; Attheyaceae. The record is from RNAcentral.
UUAAGACUAUCCAGGCAUUCCCCAGUAAGGGCGACUGAAGCGGGAAGAGCUCACCGUGUGAAUCUGUGCCCACCAUUUGUUGUGUGGCACCGAAUUGUGGUCUGUAGAAGCAUUGUCGGCCGCCGUCCCGGGCCAAGUCCCUUGGAAAAGGGCAGCAGAGAGGGUGAGACUCCCGUCUUUGCCUGGGAAGGGCGCGCCAUGGCAGGUGCCUUCGACGAGUCGAGUUGCUUGGGAUUGCAGCUCUAAGAGGGUGGUAAAUUCCAUCUAAAGCUAAAUAUUGGUGGGAGACCGAUAGCGAACAAGUACCGUGAGGGAAAGAUGCAAAGAACUUUGAAAAGAGAGUUAAAGAGUACCUGAAAUUGCUGAAAGGGAAGCGAAGGAAACCAGUGUCGUGUCGCGUCAUACUUCUCCUGCCGCUUGCGGUUGGGGCGCUGUGUCGCGACGUGGGCCAGCAUGGGUUUGUGUCUCCCGGCAUACGUCGGUUUGGGAGGUAGGUCCCUCUUUUGGGUCCGAUACCAUUCCGUCCUGUCGGGGGUGAGACCGAGGCAGUCACUUUACGUGCUCGUGAUGCUGGCAAAAUGGUUUUCUUUACCCCGUCUUGAAACACGGACCAAGGAGUCUAACAUAUGUGCGAGUACAGGGGUGGCAAACCCCCGUGCGCAAUGAAAGUAACAGUGGUUGGACCUGUUUGUUCAGGGCACAAUCCGCCGGCCACAAUCCCUCGGGAGAAAGGUCUGAGUGUGAGCAUACAUGUUGGGACCCGAAAGAUGUGUGAACUAUGCCUGAAUAGGGUGAAGCCAGGGAUACUACUG